GACGAACGCUGGCGGCGUGCUUAACACAUGCAAGUCGAACGGAAAGGCCCUGCUUUUGUGGGGUGCUCGAGUGGCGAACGGGUGAGUAACACGUGAGUAACCUGCCCUUGACUUUGGGAUAACUUCAGGAAACUGGGGCUAAUACCGGAUAGGAUCUCCUGCUGCAUGGUGGGGGUUGGAAAUUUUUGGCGGUUGGGGAUGGACUCGCGGCUUAUCAGCUUGUUGGUGGGGUAGUGGCUUACCAAGGCUUUGACGGGUAGCCGGCCUGAGAGGGUGACCGGCCACAUUGGGACUGAGAUACGGCCCAGACUCCUACGGGAGGCAGCAGUGGGGAAUAUUGCACAAUGGGCGGAAGCCUGAUGCAGAAACGCCGCGUGCGGGAUGACGGCCUUCGGGUUGUAAACCGCUUUCGCCUGUGACGAAGCGUGAGUGACGGUAAUGGGUAAAGAAGCACCGGCUAACUACGUG
Molecule: ribosomal RNA, 468 nt
Filed under: uncultured bacterium
Lineage: Bacteria
Description: partial 16S ribosomal RNA
Rfam family: Bacterial small subunit ribosomal RNA
Source: RNAcentral